UUAAUUAUAUUUAAAAAAACAAAAGUACAACAAUUGUAAUUGGUAAAAAAAAAAAAAAAAUUAUAAUGUCCUUUAUUUGCUUCCGAUCCGAUAAGCGACUUCUUAUGGAUCGUCUUGAAAUUAGGUAAAGGAACUUGACCCUAACCGCAACCUGUCGGUAGAACCAAAAUUAUCAAGAUAAAUAAGAACUUCGACCCUAACCGCGACCUGCCGGUAGAACCAAAGUUAUCAAGUAAAAAAGGAACUUGACCCUAACCGCGACCUGCCGGUAGAACCAAAGUUAUCAAGAUAAAGAGGAACUUGACCCUAACCGCGACCUAUCGGUAGAACCAGAGUUAUCAAUAAAAAGAGAAACUCGACCCUAACCGCGACCUGCCAGUAGAACUAAAGUUAUCAAGAUAAAGAGGAACUUGACCCUAACCGCGACUGCCGGUAGAACCAAAGUUAUCAAGAAAGUGCGACCCUAACCUUGACCUGCCGAUAGAACCAACACUAUAAAGUUCUUAUCUCAAGAACAAUGUUCUUAUCACAAGAACAAAUAAAAAUUUAUCACAAGAGAAACUCUCAAAUUUGAUUAUAUUUCAAGUUGUUUUGAAAAGUACAUGAAAGCCCUAUUUAUAGCUUAUCCUUGUAUAGUAGGGUUUAUUGUCCACUAUCAUACAUUCAUCAUAGAACUUAGAAAAUUUCCAUUAUCAUGCUUAUAAAUUCUCAGUAGCUACUAUAAUGACUUAGUGCACCACUAGGAAGCAUCUAGAGAGCCUAUGGAGCAACUAAAAGUCAUCUAAAAAUCCACCCAAUACAAAAAAC
This 807-nucleotide long non-coding RNA is filed under the name Trifolium pratense (red clover). Its description in RNAcentral is "long non-coding RNA (TPRA_LNC006952)". Lineage: Eukaryota; Viridiplantae; Streptophyta; Magnoliopsida; Fabales; Fabaceae. The record is from RNAcentral.